AAAUUGAAGAGUUUGAUCAUGGCUCAGAUUGAACGCUGGCGGCAGGCCUAACACAUGCAAGUCGAACGGUAACAGGAAGCAGCUUGCUGCUUUGCUGACGAGUGGCGGACGGGUGAGUAAUGUCUGGGAAACUGCCUGAUGGAGGGGGAUAACUACUGGAAACGGUGGCUAAUACCGCAUAACGUCGCAAGACCAAAGAGGGGGACCUUCGGGCCUCUUGCCAUCAGAUGUGCCCAGAUGGGAUUAGCUUGUUGGUGAGGUAACGGCUCACCAAGGCGACGAUCCCUAGCUGGUCUGAGAGGAUGACCAGCCACACUGGAACUGAGACACGGUCCAGACUCCUACGGGAGGCAGCAGUGGGGAAUAUUGCACAAUGGGCGCAAGCCUGAUGCAGCCAUGCCGCGUGUAUGAAGAAGGCCUUCGGGUUGUAAAGUACUUUCAGCGGGGAGGAA
RNAcentral lists this ribosomal RNA (452 nucleotides) under Salmonella enterica. RNAcentral's name for it is "bacterial SSU rRNA". It matches the Rfam family "Bacterial small subunit ribosomal RNA", at positions 1 to 449 of the family's 1533-position model. Lineage: Bacteria; Pseudomonadati; Pseudomonadota; Gammaproteobacteria; Enterobacterales; Enterobacteriaceae. The record is from RNAcentral. RNAcentral also lists the same sequence under 6 other names.